UACGGGAGGCAGCAGUGGGGAAUAUUGCACAAUGGGCGCAAGCCUGAUGCAGCCAUGCCGCGUGUAUGAAGAAGGCCUUCGGGUUGUAAAGUACUUUCAGUCGUGAGGAAGGUGUUAAGGUUAAUAACCUUAGCAAUUGACGUUAGCGACAGAAGAAGCACCGGCUAACUCCGUGCCAGCAGCCGCGGUAAUACGGAGGGUGCGAGCGUUAAUCGGAAUUACUGGGCGUAAAGGGCACGCAGGCGGUUAAUUAAGUUGGAUGUGAAAUCCCCGGGCUUAACCUGGGAAUGGCAUUCAAGACUGGUUAGCUAGAGUCUUGUAGAGGGGGUAGAAAUUCCAUGUGUAGCGGUGAAAUGCGUAGAGAUGUGGAGGAAUACCGGUGGCGAAAGGCGGCCCCUGGACAAAAGACUGACGCUCAUGUGCGAAAAGCGUGGGGAGCAAAACAGGGAUUAGAUACC
This 458-nucleotide ribosomal RNA is filed under the name uncultured bacterium. RNAcentral's name for it is "bacterial SSU rRNA". It matches the Rfam family "Bacterial small subunit ribosomal RNA", at positions 340 to 786 of the family's 1533-position model. The record is from RNAcentral.